GACGAACGCUGGCGGCAUGCUUUACACAUGCAAGUCGAACGGUAACAGGCCGCAAGGUGCUGACGAGUGGCGAACGGGUGAGUAAUGCAUCGGAACGUGCCCAGUCGUGGGGGAUAACGCAGCGAAAGCUGCGCUAAUACCGCAUACGAUCUCUGGAUGAAAGCGGGGGACCGGAAGGCCUCGCGCGAUUGGAGCGGCCGAUGACAGAUUAGGUAGUUGGUGGGGUAAAGGCCCACCAAGCCAACGAUCUGUAGCUGGUCUGAGAGGACGACCAGCCACACUGGGACUGAGACACGGCCCAGACCCCUACGGGAGGCAGCAGUGGGGAAUUUUGGACAAUGGGCGCAAGCCUGAUCCAGCAAUGCCGCGUGCAGGAAGAAGGCCUUCGGGUUGUAAACUGCUUUUGUACGGAACGAAACGGUCCGGGUUAAUACCCUGGGCUAAUGACGGUACCGUAAGAAUAAGCACCGGCUAACUACGUGCCAGCCGCCGCCGUAA
This 498-nucleotide ribosomal RNA is filed under the name uncultured bacterium. RNAcentral's name for it is "partial 16S ribosomal RNA". It matches the Rfam family "Bacterial small subunit ribosomal RNA", at positions 28 to 523 of the family's 1533-position model. The record is from RNAcentral.